GUCCUCAUUUCUAUUUCACAAAUCAUUGAUGUGACUUAACUCAUUGCAUUCUGAGCUAAAUGAAACAGUAUAAAUAUAAAUAACACAAGUCCAUGGACUAUUCAUUUAGAUUUUGGAUACUGAAAGAUCUGAAUAAAUUUCACCUACAACAGAGCCCUGAAAGUGGGAUUUUUCUAUUUUAAUAGUCGUGUUAUUCUUCGAUGUCACUUCAGUCACAGCUAUGAGUUGAAUCUUAUAGCAUUAUGAAUGUUAUAUAGGGAUAAAAAGUUGUGUUAUUUGUAGCCAACAGGGACCAUUAUGUAUCCCAUCCAUACUCUUGAUGAUUAGAACUCGGUGAUGAUGGCCAUCUAGUGCUGCUCAUCACACGUGGUCUGACAGUAUAUUUUGACAAACUGAAAGUAAAACAAUUUAGAGAUGACCUAAGCACUCUGGCAUUGUGUUAAAGACGGUGGGGAGAAAUGGGGAAUUGAUUGAAAGAAUGGAAAAAAUAACUUCACUGAUGGCCGAAAAUAUGAAUGAAACACCGAUACAAAGUUCAGUUUAUAUGCAUGAUUUAUUAGUUGACUAAGCACUCCUGUCUACUGCUAUGUAAUGGUCCAUAUUNNN
This 606-nucleotide long non-coding RNA is filed under the name Trifolium pratense (red clover). Its description in RNAcentral is "long non-coding RNA (TPRA_LNC006937)". Lineage: Eukaryota; Viridiplantae; Streptophyta; Magnoliopsida; Fabales; Fabaceae. The record is from RNAcentral.